RNAcentral lists this long non-coding RNA (1120 nucleotides) under Chloebia gouldiae (Gouldian finch). RNAcentral describes it as "Erythrura gouldiae (Gouldian finch) lncRNA (ENSEGOG00005018592.1)". The record is from RNAcentral. Lineage: Eukaryota; Metazoa; Chordata; Aves; Passeriformes; Passeridae.
GAGUGACCACCGGAGUGACCACAGGGUUGACCACUGGGAUGACCACAGGAGUGACCACCUGAAUGACCACGGGAGUGACCACCUGAGUGACCACCCAAAUAACCCCCGGAGUGACCCCGAGAGCGACCCCGCGAGCGACCAGGAGCGGGGCCAGGAGCUGUGGCUGGCCGAGCUCGUCGUCCACCCGCGCUUCCGGGGGGUCCGGGGGGGUCACGACCUGGCGCUGGCCCGGCUGCGGCCGCCGGCCCGGCCGGGACCCCUCGUGGGCACCGUCUGCCUGCCCCUCCCCCGCCAGCGGCCGCCCUUCGGCCGCGGCUGCUGGGUCAGCGGCUGGGGCCACGUGGCCGAGAACGGUGAGUGACCGCCCGAAAAUGGGGAGGGGUCAGCCCGGAACGGCCGGAAAGGGGGAGGUACGGGGAGAAAAGGGGGAAAGUCGGGGUGAAAAGGGGGAAAUCCGGACUGAAAAUGGGAAAAUUUGGCCUGAAAAACCCAAAAAUGGGAAAAUUCAGACCGAAAAUGGGAAGAUUUGGCCUGAAAAUGGGAAAAUUCGGCCUGAAAAACCCAAAAAUGGGAAAAUUCAGACCGAAAAUGGGAAGAUUUGGCCUGAAAAUGGGAAAAUUCGGCCUGAAAAACCCAAAAAUGGGAAAAUUCGGCCUGAAAAUGGGAAAAUUUGGCCUGAAAAACUCAAAAAUGGGAAAAUUCGGACCGAAAAUGGGAAAAUUUGGCCUGAAAAACCCAAAAAUGGGAAAAUUCGGCCUGAAAAUGGGAAAAUUUGGCCUGAAAAACCCAAAAAUGGGAAAAUUCGGCGCAAAAAUGGGGAAAUUCGGACUGAAAAGGAGAAAAUUCGGGGCAAAAAUGGGAAAAUUCGGCCCAAAAUAGGGAAAAUUCGGCAUGAAAAACCCAAAAAUGGGAAAAGUCGGAGAGAAAAGGGGGAAAUUCGGGCAAAAAUGGGGAAAUUUGGCGCAAAAAUGGGGAAUUUGGCACAAAAAUGGGGAAAGUCGGGGCAAAAAUGGGGAAAGUCGGAGAGAAAAGGGGGAAAUUCGGGGCAAAAAUGGGAAAAUCCAGCCUGAAAAACCCAAAAAUGGGAAAAUUCAGACUGAAAAGGGGAAAAUUCAGGGCA